UGCGUCGGUCGCGAGUCGAACCCGGGUCAACUGCUUGGAAGGCAGCUAUGCUAACCGUUAUACCACCGACGC
Molecule: transfer RNA, 72 nt
Filed under: Araneus ventricosus
Lineage: Eukaryota; Metazoa; Arthropoda; Arachnida; Araneae; Araneidae
Description: tRNA-Gly
Source: RNAcentral